UCUCAGUUCGGAUCGCAGGCUGCAACCCGCCUGCGUGAAGUUGGAAUUGCUAGUAAUCGCGCAUCAGCCACGGCGCGGUGAAUACGUUCCCGGGCCUUGUACACACCGCCCGUCAAGCCAUGGAAGCCGGGAGUGCCUGAAGUACGCGACCGCAAGGAGCGUCCUAAGGUAAAACCGGUGACUGGGGCUAAGUCGUAACAAGGUAGC
Molecule: ribosomal RNA, 207 nt
Filed under: uncultured bacterium
Lineage: Bacteria
Description: partial 16S ribosomal RNA
Rfam family: Bacterial small subunit ribosomal RNA
Source: RNAcentral